CGCCCGCUCCUGCCAUGGCGGCGCUGCGGGACGUCUUUCGGCGGCCUUUCGGCGGCCCGCUCGCGGUGGGUUUCAGUUCCCCGGGCAGCGAGCCGACGGCAGCGGUGGUGUCCGUCAGCGCCUGUCCUGCGCCCCCGGCCUGCCGAAGAUCCCUUUGGAAGCGAAAAAACUGCUUUGAAGCAUCUAGGGGAAGCAGGCGGGAAUUUACUAUAAAUUUCUCACAGGUACAGCAGCUCUACAGAAGCAGCUUAAUUUCCCCCCGGCCGGCUGCAGGCAGUCAGCACAGCCACUCACCUCCGCGAGGCGCUGCCCCCCGAGCUCUGCUGCUGGCCGCGCUCGGUGCGGGACACGCGGUGCAGAAAGUGCCAUUUAGGAGUCUGCGCCAUACGGAUCGCGGGGCCAUUAUAAAGCCGGGCUGUGUCUGUGCUGUGCAUUCUCUGAGCUUGUUGGAGUGUGUUUGUUCACCUUUCUGUUUCGAGCGGUAGUGCGAAAAUCAUCGUUAACUUCAACACGCAUAAUUUGUGUUUCCUUUUCAGACCCUUUGUGGCGUAUCAUAAUGCUGGCCAAUCUCGUAUUUUUUCUUUGCCUGGCUAUUAAUGCUGCUUCUUAGCUUCUUCUCAUUCUCUAGUCAUACACGAUCCUGCCCCUCUGUGCUGUGGGGCCUCACCUGGAGUACUGCUUACAGAUGUGGAGUCCUCAGUACAGGAGAGACACGGACCUGUUGGAGGGUGUCCAGAGGAGGGCCACAAAAAUAAUCCCAGGGAUGGAACACCUCUCCUGUGAGGACAGGCUGGGAGAGCUGGGGCUGUUCAGCCUGGAGAAGGCACUGGGGAAACCUGAGAGUGGUCUUUCAGUAUCUAAAGGGGGGCUGUAAGAAGGAAGGGGACAGACUUUUUAGUAGGGUCUGUUGUGAAUUGGAAUUUCACACUUGGAAUUUCAUCACCCCAAUAGAAAUCAGGAGAGGGAAAUUGGUUUUGUGUGCCUCUGCAGAUAGGUCAGCAGUGGACAGGACCCAGUGACAGACAUAGAAGAGUUUGGUGCUUCUGACAACAGUGGAGCGUCGCUGAGGAUCCCAGAGCUGUGACUGCAGUUUUCCAAUUCGCAGGCUGUCUUGGCAGUAGAGGAAAUGUGAAGAAGAGCUAUGUGUCAUUUGAAUAGUGCUGUCAUCUUACCAAUUACUACUAUAGCUGCUGUACACAGGUGUUGCAAGGUCAUACCUUCACCCAUCCGAGGCAAAGACAUGAUGUUAUCUGCCUGAAAAUAUCUGUCUGGGCAAUCCUUCAACGAGACUUCUCCCACACAUCAAUCCAACUUUCUUUUUUCUCCUGUAACUUCUUGCUUCUUUCAUGUUGCACAAGAGGUUCCCUAAAACAUUAAUUUUUCCUCCUCCAGAUUCCUACACUUGAAUUGAAUAGAAUUUGGAGUGGUAUGAAGUGCCUCACACAGAGAAGAACCAGCAUUUUGAAGGACCUGCAGGUGCUGCUACCUGAAGGUUAGUUUAACAACUGAAAAUACUCUAUCGUGAAUGGCCUCAAUAUAUCAUUCAGAAGUUUGGAAGUUAGAUGUCCUGUUGAUGGAAGCUGUUUAGAAGUUAGAUGCCUGAAGCUUGGCAGCACUGCACACAAAACAGGAUGUUGCUGCCCACAGGUCCAGUGUCUCUAUCUUUGAGUGGCAGCAUUUGAUUUUUGCAGGGACAGUAAAGAGCAAGUGUUGCAGGGACUUGGUGUCUGAGCUGGGGGGAUAAUUACAUAUUUCUGCCCCCACCCAUAAUUAUCUCAGGAGGCAUUUCACCUCCAGGGUUUGGAAGACCUUUCUGUGUACUUGCGCUAGCACAGUGUGGAUGGGAAGAGGAAAACAACCAAGGCAGCCUGCACACAGAGCCUGAAUUAUUACCUGCCAGUGGGGCCAGCAGCUCUCACUGCUCUCCCAAGGCUGCAGAGCAGCAGGGAUGCUGCAUGGUGCUGGGUGGGACCACCUCCUGCAGCACGGCUGCUGCCUCACAUGGAGGGGGUAGGGGGGGGCGAAGCAGGACACUGCAAAGAUGGAGGGAGAAAAUGAGCUGUGCUGCUGCUGUGUGUGUGCCUGCCAGCCCUGGCCAUGCCUGCUGUCACACUUGGUUUUCCGUAAAAUUUGAUUGUUUUUGAUCACCGUUAUUGGUGUGAAAUGUUGUACCCUAAUAAGCUACCAGCAAAAUGCCUGUUGUCCUUAGCCCAACUGGAUCUAGCCAUUUAAAAUGCUUUAGAAGUCACAGCAUAAAUAUCAAAUGUUGAUAGACGCAAAGAAAUAAACUCUGGCAAUACCUGUGGUAUGCCUUCAACCAUAGUGGUGAAUAACAUUAAAAUCUCACUGCCCAGCACUCGUACCAAAAAUCAGGAUGCCUGUGUUUGGCUCACUUGUAGGCUGUGGCAACAUCAUAGUGUUCCCUCUUCAUGUGCCUAAUUCUUCACAUAGUUUGAGGACAAUAUGAACCAGAAUACAUGCAGUCCUUCACCUGUCUAUCACUACCUUCUUUCCUGCUCUCGGGAGAUACUGUUGAUCCUUCUUUCUCUUACAGAUUUGUCCAAACUUGUUAGCACUGGCAAAAGUAAUCUCCAUUUCCUCCUGGCUACUUGACAAAAGGAGGACAACAAACUUCUCUCUGCUGACUAGGAAUACAGUAAACAUUCAUGAUUUCAAGUAUGGUGAUAAGAGCGUAUUGCACCACAGUGCCAUCUCAUAGCAGUUUGUUCAGCUGAGCAUUCACUGGGCCAGCACAUCACCACUGUCAGCAUGCAAAUAAGCUCUCCCAUGCAGCUGAGAAUGAAGGCCAGAAGCCUGAAAAUAACCCAGCAAAGCAUGCCUGUUGUAAGGAAUGAGAGGUACUUGCCAACUUUUAAUCACUGGGCUUAGUGACUGGCAUGACAACAUUUUUCUGAUGGGGAAAUUAUUUACAGGCAGUUGGAAGGUCAGGAGGCUGUCUGAAACACUCAAUGGCAAAAUUAGAGUUAGCCUUUCAGUCAACCAUGUUGCUCAGGUACCUGCUUGGUGUUCCAGUGUUAACGUGCAGUACAUUCGAAGUGCAGCCACCUUCACUGUAUGUUUCAGUGUACAAAAUUACCUUCUAAUUAAGAAAUAAGUGCAGUGGUGGGGAGGAUUCCACUUUGAGUCUCAGCUUGGCUGUGAGACUCAGUGCAAGCCGUGUAGUGGGCUGUUAGAGUGGCUUGCUUGAUUCUGUUUCUUGUGUCAAACGUUUGUCAGUGGUGAUGAUGAAUAGUAGGGAAAAAUACUGAAUAAGCCCUAAGUGAUUAAUUAGAAUAUUAGUUUAGUAUUUCUGCUGCCAGACAGUCAUGCAGUCCCUGGCAUUACUGCAUAAGGUUUAAAAUGUUGAGAGAGGAAGAGGAAUUUCAAAUAUGUUUAUUCUUAUCCAGAUAAUCUCUGAAUUUAAACUCAAUAAAGCUUUUCACCAGAGUGAGAUGUUAACUAGCCAAUACUUUAUUCACACUUCAGUUAAACAACGUUUACCUCUGGUGAAAGGCACCCAAACUGUGCUACUCUGUGCUACCCUGUUUCUGUGGAAACUGUGUGUUGGAGUGGAAUAGGAAUAAUGGUGGAGAAAAGGAGAGCAGUAGCGUUUUGGCUGAAGUCCUGUUGGCCAGCCCCCGUUUCAGCUGGGAUAAGUCAGCCAAGCAAGGCCUCAGUGCUGGAGCCCCGACAGUUCUUUUUCCUCCUCCUCCUAACUUGUGCCGAGGGAGGAGUCUGCUUCACAGACACCAUUCAAAAAGUGCUUGCUAAAGCAAUUUAUCUGUAUUUUCCCCUGGUUUUUCAUGCAACAAGAAUUUUAGCCAGUCAGUAAUGUUAGUCAAUAGCUGCCUACACUGGUAGGGUAAGGUUUGUUCUGAAAAGAACUUCCAUUGACGCGUAUGUUGCUCAGCCACUGCUCUUCUAAAAAGCACCACUGUAUUCUUGGAAAGAAACUCUCCCAAAACUGAAAAGACACAUUUUUCAUCAUUCAGGGGUUUCCAAAAUAUGCAUAUGUUUGAUGGAUUGCCAGGAAAGACAGACAGCCUUGACCAGUAAACUCAGCUCUGUAUUCUCUCUUCUCUGGUAGCUGUUUCACUGACAUUCAUGUUGUUUUCUCC
Long non-coding RNA from Gallus gallus (chicken), 4118 nucleotides. The record is from Ensembl. Lineage: Eukaryota; Metazoa; Chordata; Aves; Galliformes; Phasianidae.